CAGUCACCGCCUCAGUGGCUCGGUGCGUCCUUCCGGGCGGGGUACGGGAAGCCAGCUCUCCAGGCCGGGACUCAUGGUGUGACCUUAGGAGCCUCGUACUCACCCGGGCAUUGGAUGAUGAAGACCCCUGGCCCCAGCCCCUCUGAUGAGGCAGACAUUGAACCAGCUUUCUCCCAGCAGGAGGUCAGAUCCACAACGGACACAUUGUGCUGGGGACACAGGAGGCCAUGCCAGUGGACUUCCCGUUCAGCUCAGGCCUGACAUUGCCCAGGACCUUGGCAGCCCCAAUGGAUGCAGGAAUGAUGUUCUCAGCAGCCCCAUGAUCAUCAGGCCAGUUCCUGAGACACUACCCCAUCUUCUGAGAAGAGGCAUGAGAGCAUGCCUGCCAUCCUGCCCUGUGUGAUACUCUCCACCGCUCUAUGAUGCAAGAAGGCCGUCACCAGUGCCAGCACCAUGCUCUGAUGUCCCAGCCUCCCAAACUGAGGAGUGAAGCUCUAGAAAAACUGACUCUAAGCUCAUAUGGAAAACUAAACAAGCAAAAGUAUCCAGGAAAAGCAAUGAGUGGGGGAAAAAAAAGAGGUAAUGAGUGGAGACUCAGAAGUGCUGGGGAUGGAACCCAUGGCCUCAUGCAUGCCAGACAAGUGCUCCACCGCCAAGCUACAUCCCCAGCCCUGUCAUUUAGGUCUUAAAGGACUCUAAUUGCAAUCAGAAGCCAUACUCAGUGGAGAAAGGGGCGAUACACAGAAAAGAGAAAUGGCUCUUAACCAUGAAAAGGUGCUUGAGUUCACGCAAAAGAAAAAUAUAAAUUAAAAUUUCACUAAGAGACCAUU
This is a long non-coding RNA of Chinchilla lanigera (long-tailed chinchilla), 830 nucleotides long. RefSeq lists it as uncharacterized. NCBI's taxonomy places the organism in Eukaryota, Metazoa, Chordata, Mammalia, Rodentia, Chinchillidae. The record is from RefSeq and is a predicted model, not a curated record. The transcript is spliced from 6 exons.